RNAcentral lists this ribosomal RNA (468 nucleotides) under uncultured bacterium. Its description in RNAcentral is "partial 16S ribosomal RNA". It matches the Rfam family "Bacterial small subunit ribosomal RNA", at positions 28 to 507 of the family's 1533-position model. The record is from RNAcentral.
GACGAACGCUGGCGGCGUGCUUAACACAUGCAAGUCGAACGGAAAGGCCCUGCUUUUGUGGGGUGCUCGAGUGGCGAACGGGUGAGUAACACGUGAGUAACCUGCCCUUGACUUUGGGAUAACUUCAGGAAACUGGGGCUAAUACCGGAUAGGAGCUCCUGCUGCAUGGUGGGGGUUGGAAAGUUUCGGCGGUUGGGGAUGGACUCGCGGCUUAUCAGCUUGUUGGUGGGGUAGUGGCUUACCAAGGCUUUGACGGGUAGCCGGCCUGAGAGGGUGACCGGCAACAUUGGGACUGAGAUACGGCCCAGACUCCUACGGGAGGCAGCAGUGGGGAAUAUUGAACAAUGGGCGGAAGCCUGAUGCAGCAACGCCGCGUGCGGGAUGACGGCCUUCGGGUUGUAAACCGCUUUCGCCUGUGACGAAGCGUGAGUGACGGUAAUGGGUAAAGAAGCACAGGCUAACUACGUG